Molecule: ribosomal RNA, 385 nt
Filed under: uncultured bacterium
Lineage: Bacteria
Description: bacterial SSU rRNA
Rfam family: Bacterial small subunit ribosomal RNA
Source: RNAcentral
AUUGAACGCUGGCGGCAUGCCUUACACAUGCAAGUCGAACGGUAACGCGGGGGCAACCCUGGCGACGAGUGGCGAACGGGUGAGUAAUAUAUCGGAACGUGCCCUAGAGUGGGGGAUAACGUAGCGAAAGUUACGCUAAUACCGCAUACGAUCUAUGGAUGAAAGUGGGGGAUCGCAAGACCUCAUGCUCCUGGAGCGGCCGAUAUCUGAUUAGCUAGUUGGUAGGGAAAANCCUACCAAGGCGACGAUCAGUAGCUGGUCUGAGAGGACGACCAGCCACACUGGGACUGAGACACGGCCCAGACUCCUACGGGAGCAGCAGUGGGGAAUUUUGGACAAGUGGGGGCAACCCUGAUCCAGCAAUGCCGCGUGUGUGAAGAAGGCC